This 957-nucleotide long non-coding RNA is filed under the name Homo sapiens (human). RNAcentral's name for it is "HSALNT0301675". The record is from RNAcentral. Lineage: Eukaryota; Metazoa; Chordata; Mammalia; Primates; Hominidae.
AAACUUCACUGGUCAUUACCAAGGAAUAUUCUGGAAUUUAUUCUUUCUUAUUAAAAGUAAAGAGAGAGUGGUGGGAGAGAAACAAUACGUAUGGAGUAGGAAGGGGAGGCAGAAAGGAAAGAAGGAAGGAAGGAAGAGAGGAAGGAAGGAUGGGUUAAGAGCUCAGCUUCUUAAACCAAAACAACAAAAAAAAUUUUCCUGGUGUUGCCCUCAACAUGUCUGACAGUUUUAAUAUAUAAACUAAGCAUGUAAACUUAAAAUGGUUGUGGGAAUUUCCCUAGAGAAAAAAAAUCCCAAGCAUGAUCUGUCAAAAAUAAUAAAAAUAGAACUUUGUCAUUCCGUCAGCCAAGGCCCAAAGGAAGUUGAAUUAGAGCAGCAGAAGAAUGUAUUGCUUUUGGCUGAACGACAUAUCUGAUGAUGCUAAUUAUCGUCUUGAACACAGGCAUGACUCAGUGGCAAAAGACUGGUGGAAAGGCUGCCAAGAUCUGAGACUGUGUGUAUACAGGCCCCUGGGAUCUGACAUGGUUGAAAGGUCAAGUAGCUUCCCUGUCAUUGUUUUAAGAGAAGCCAUCAAUUCCUGUAAUGCCUUUAAUUUUGGCUGACUGCAGCUGCCUUUCUUGGGUAGGAUUGGACUUUUUUUAUUGUACACUGUUCUUUCAGAUAUUUUCUAUAGAAAUCAAAGUUACAAUUAUGUUCUCACAAAAACAAAAUGCAUUGCAUUCAAUUCAUAUCUUGGGCAACAUCUGAUGUGUCUUUGAAACCCUUUUAUACAUUACAUCAUAUUUCCUGCCCAUAAAAUGAAAACACACGUCAAAACCUCAGUUAGUCUAUGUAUCUUGGUGAGACUCCUAGCAUAACACGCUAUAACUAGAUUUUUUUCCAGGCAAGGGCCUGGGGGUUAAAUACCCUGGGUGGAUGGAGUUGGGUAUCAGUCCUUCUGCUGCACUGAAAUACGUU